CUGAGAAGGGUUCGAGUGU
Molecule: small nuclear RNA, 19 nt
Filed under: Arabidopsis thaliana (thale cress)
Lineage: Eukaryota; Viridiplantae; Streptophyta; Magnoliopsida; Brassicales; Brassicaceae
Description: snRNA_05758
Source: RNAcentral